This 230-nucleotide ribosomal RNA is filed under the name uncultured Streptococcaceae bacterium. RNAcentral's name for it is "partial 16S ribosomal RNA". It matches the Rfam family "Bacterial small subunit ribosomal RNA", at positions 109 to 334 of the family's 1533-position model. The record is from RNAcentral. Lineage: Bacteria; Bacillati; Bacillota; Bacilli; Lactobacillales; Streptococcaceae.
AGUAACGCGUAGGUAACCUACCUCAUAGCGGGGGAUAACUAUUGGAAACGAUAGCUAAUACCGCAUAAGAGAGACUAACGCAUGUUAGUAAUUUAAAAGGGGCAAUUGCUCCACUAUGAGAUGGACCUGCGUUGUAUUAGCUAGUUGGUGAGGUAAAGGCUCACCAAGGCGACGAUACAUAGCCGACCUGAGAGGGUGAUCGGCCACACUUGGACUGAGACACGGCCCAG